This is a long non-coding RNA of Oncorhynchus mykiss (rainbow trout), 2616 nucleotides long. The record is from Ensembl. Lineage: Eukaryota; Metazoa; Chordata; Actinopteri; Salmoniformes; Salmonidae.
CAUUUUUUCACACCUGCUCUUCCAGGUCGGUUAAAUCCAAAACACAACGUACCUGCGGUCCUCCAGGGCCACGGUUUCCUAUCACUGCUCUAUUCCCUUUGAAUGUAUUUAUGAAUAAAUGAAUUGCUGAACAAAUUAAUUAAUAAAUUAAACUUUUUACCCAAGAUAUGAGGGUUGUCUUUAACUUUGAGUCUGUUGUGUAGAGCCCGAGUCCGGCUCCUCUCCAGCUCCAACUGUUGUUUACAAGCGUUCAGCUCUACCUUCAGCAGAGAACCGGCAUCUUUAAUGACUCUGCUCAGCUCCGCCUCUUUACUGGCCCAGUGCUGAUGAAGAGUCUGAAUCUCUUCCCUGAACGAAGAACACAUUCAUUCUCUCAACCUCCACCUUCAGCCGUACCACCUCCUCUUGAAGCUGAAAGCCACAAAUCACACAACUACACGGAUCUCAACAAUACAGAACAGCUAGGGGUUCUUCUCUCUGAGUUCCUCUAGUUCUGCCUGGGUGGAUUGUAAUGCCAUAGCCACAUCCUGCCACUUCUCGCUCCAGUGUGAGGCCACACCCCUCAGCUCCUCCAUGUUCUGAGCCGACUCAGCCUCCAACCGCUGCAGCUCCUCCCCCUUCUGACACAGCCCCUCCUCCUUUUCCAGGAGCUCCGCCUCCAAGGUCAGGCAGCAUUCGUGCAGCCUCUGGUUCUCUGACUCCAAGGCAUCCUGGGAUUCACUGGUGAUGUGAUGUGAUGUUAUUGACGUUAACGAUGACAAUCCUAUCAUUAAUGCAUGUCCAUAGUUGUUGUGUUAAAGACAUUGCGAAACACAAAUCAACCCCAUAGCCUCUACCCACAAUGCACUUGUGUAGAUCUGAGAGGAUUGGAUAGGUGUAAAUAGGCCUGUGGCAGUCAUGAAAUUGUGUCAGCCGGUCAUUGUCAUAAAAAAGUCAAAAAACGUGUCUCUCGGUAAUGGACUGUUAAUUAACAUAAACACGUUUAACAACUCCAGGCCUUCACACAAACAAGCCUUUGGACCCUCUACAUUAAAAAAUGUCUUUUUUUAAGUCUAAUAAAUCAAUUUAAUAUUACACCAUCACAAUAAAUCCAUGAUUUAUUUUUAUUCAGGUCUAAAGAAACAUUAUGAUAUGAAGAAAAUGUAUUUCAGAAGAACAGAUUAUGAGUUGGUCUACUGUAUGUUAUCUGGCUAUGCUCUAUGAUAUAGACUGUAGGCCUGUUCAUUUAUCAGACUAGAUACUGUAUGUUAUCUGGCUAUGCUCUAUGAUAUAGACUGUAGGCCUGUUCAUUUAUCAGACUAGAUACUGUAUGUUAUCUGGCUAUAGACUGUAGGUUUGUUCAUUUAUCAGACUAGAUACUGUAUGUUAUCUGGUUAUAGGGCUGUAGACUUGUUCAUUUAUCAGACUAGAUACUGUAUGUUAUCUGACUAUGAUAUAGACUGUAGGCUUGUUCAUUUAUCACACUAGAUUCUGUAUGUUAUCUGGCUAUAGGCUGUAGUCUUGUUCAUUUAUCAGACUAGAUACUGUAUGUUAUCUGGCUAUAGACUGUAGGGUUGUUCAUUUAUCAGACUAGAUACUGUAUGUUAUCUGGCUAUAGACUGUAGGCCUGUUCAUUUAUCAGACUAGAUACUGUAUGUUAUCUGGCUAUAGACUGUAGGCUGGUUCAUUUAUCAGACUAGAUACUGUAUGUUAUCUGGCUAUAGACUGUAGGCCUGUUCAUUUAUCAGACUAGAUACUGUAUGUUAUCUGGCUAUAGACUGUAGGUUUGUUCAUUUAUCAGACUAGAUACUGUAUGUUAUCUGACUAUGAUAUAGACUGUAGGCUUGUUCAUUUAUCAGACUAGAUACUGUAUGUUAUCUGGCUAUAGACUGUAGGCUGGUUCAUUUAUCAGACUAGAUACUCUAUGUUAUCUGGCUAUAGACUGUAGGCUGGUUCAUUUAUCAGACUAGAUACUGUUUGUUAUCUGGCUAUAGACUUGUUCAUUUAUCAGACUAGAUACUGUAUGUUAUCUGGCUAUGCUCCAUACCAUAGGGCUGUAGGCCUGUUCAUUUAGCUGAUAAGAUAUAUUUACAAGUCCCAUGCCAUUAUUUUAAAUCAUAGGAUUUUUAUAGUAAGAAGAAUAUAAUUUAAUGUUUUUCCCCAGUCCGGAGCGUGUGGGCAUAUGAAGUGGAUAUGUUGAGUGUAAAAGUGAUCAUCUGAAACAGGCCCUAGAGGCUAGAUUUCUAGAGUUCUAGUUCUCUCAUCAAGUGAUCAUCUGAAACAGGCCCUAGAGGCUAGAUUUCUAGAGUUCUAGUUCUCUCAUCAAGUGAUCAUUUGAAACAGGCCCUAGAGGCUAGAUUUCUAGAGUUCUAGUUCUCUCAUCAAGUGAUCAUCUUCCUCUUGACAGGUGAUAUUCCGCUUGACAGGUGAUAUUCCGCUUGACAGGUGAUAUUCCUCUUGACAGGUGAUAUUCCGCUUGACAGGUGAUAUUCCGCUUGACAGGUGAUAUUCCUCUUGAUAGGUGAUAUUCCUCUUGACAGGUGAUAUUCCGCUUGACAGGUGAUAUUCUGCUUGACAGGUGAUAUUUCCGCUUGACAGGUGAUAUUCCGCUUGACAGGUGAUAUUCCGCUUGACAGG